AUUUUUAAAAAUAUUUUAUUUAUUUUGAUUAAAGCGUAAUUAACUAAUUAAAAAGAUGACUUAACUUACUUUCAUAUUUCAUCCUAUUUUCCAUCAUAUUUUUAUGCUUAAAAUUUAAUGAUUAGGUUCAAAGAGCUUUUAUUUGCUUUUGUGUGUGGACUGUGGUCAGGAACAAUUUAAUUUGAUCAAAGCAAUUAAGAGUGAUUUUUACACCAUUUGGAUGGAAAUGGAAUCAAAUGGAGGAUGAAAAUAAAAGGAAGAUCAAGAAUUGAACCAAAAGGUCACAAGUCAGACCUGUAUGUACGGGAUGGAUCCAGACGGCGGUGUGGCUCGUGCAGUCCGGUGAAAAAGCUAAGAACGUUGUCUCUAAGGAUAAUCUUUUGACAGUAAUUGGAGAUAACAGUCCACAUUUUGAGUUUCUGCAAUUACUCUUCAAGAAGUGAUCAUUUAAUAUAUUUAAUUUCCAGCAUAUUCACUCUAUGCCCAAGUGUCUCCCACUUGACAGAUUUCAGCAUUUUGAGCAUUCUUGUGUUCAACAUCUGUUGGAUAUAUAGAUUGAGACAAUUGGAUGGUGGAAACAAAAGGGAUCAGAGAUCAAGAAUUGUACCAAAAAGCUUCAAGUUAGAAUUGUACGUGUACAGGAUGUAAAGAGUCACAUAUAAGUACAUGAGCCAUCCAGUGUGCUGAAAGUCAAGGAACAAAGCAAGGUGGACCCCUAUGUAUAGAGUAAAAGAAUUGAUUUUGAGGUCUGAAGAAUGAUUGGAGGUGUACGUAUAGUAUGCACAACAAGUGUAUAAGAGCAGGAUGGUUGGAGUAGGAGAAGACACAACAAGCAAGUUGCAUUUCUGAGGAGAAUCAACAAUUAAGAAGAAUAAGAAGAUGGAUGGUGAAAAUUGCAGGUUUGAGGUUAAGUGAGUUUAAAAGAAUUCACUUUGAGUUCCCAAGAAUAGUUGAAGAAGUAUUAGAGAUGUAUGCAGAAUUCAAUCCUAUAGAGGUACAUAGUCUAUUUGACAUACACAGAAACAAAGAUGGGGAAGUGCGUUUCUUUCCAUCCAAAAGGGGGUUUCAGCAAGAUGAACCAACUUAAAAAUAAAAAGUUUGUUAAUCACAAGAGUUGCUCUUUUUUGGAUAAAUCACACUAGGAAGACUGUGUGACGGACUAGCUCAAGCUUGAAAAGACGGGAAAAGUUGUAUUAUCCCACCUGCAAAAGGCAUGCAUGUUGUGAGUGAAGGUGACAUCGGGAAAAGUUGGUAUCUUCAAAGCUUACCCUUCCGCCUUUGCCAUCUUUAUAAUUUGAGAAGUCUCAUAUAUAUUAAAUGAUUGGCAAAAUCUAAGAGCACUACUAUAACUUCCUCUUAGUUUGGAGCAUCUCUUUGUAAAAAAUUGUUUCAUUAAUUGGAAAAAUAGAAGGUAUACCAAACUAGUGUGCUGAAAGUCAAGGAACAAAGCAAGGUGGACCCUCUAUACAAGAUAAAAGAAUUGAUUUUGAGGUCUCAACAAUGAUUGAAGGUGUACGUAUGCACAAAAGUGUAUAAUUAAGAGUAGGACGGCUGGAGUAGGAGAAGACACAUAACAUGUAUUUGAAUUGAAGAAUCAACAAUUCAGAAGAAUAAGAAGAUGGUGAGAGCGGAUGCACAUUUCCAUCCUCUACACCUACUUUGUCCAUUUCAAAUACUUAGAACAGAGAUGUGGUUGAUGGUAGACAACUAGACAUGCAGGUUGAUAUACAAGUGCUUUAAUAUUUUAACCUUGCAUUUAAGCUUAAUUAUUUUGCUUGCCAUUUGUUAUGAUUUUA
Ipomoea triloba (trilobed morning glory) is the source of this 1796-nucleotide long non-coding RNA. RefSeq lists it as uncharacterized. The record is from RefSeq and is a predicted model, not a curated record. The transcript is spliced from 8 exons. NCBI's taxonomy places the organism in Eukaryota, Viridiplantae, Streptophyta, Magnoliopsida, Solanales, Convolvulaceae.